RNAcentral lists this ribosomal RNA (293 nucleotides) under uncultured bacterium. RNAcentral's name for it is "partial 16S ribosomal RNA". It matches the Rfam family "Bacterial small subunit ribosomal RNA", at positions 505 to 796 of the family's 1533-position model. The record is from RNAcentral.
GUGUCAGCCGCCGCGGUAAGACGAACCGUGCGAACGUUAUUCGGAAUCACUGGGCUUAAAGCGCGUGUAGGCGGGCCGCCGCGUCGGUUGCUGAAAUCCCCCGGCUCAACCGGGGAACGGGCAGCGAUACGGGCGGCCUGGAGGGAGGUAGGGGGGGCCGGAACUCACGGUGGAGCGGUGAAAUGCGUUGAGAUCGUGAGGAACGCCCGUGGCGAAAGCGGGCCCCUGGACCUUUUCUGACGCUGAGACGCGAAAGCUAGGGGAGCGAACGGGAUUAGAUACCCGCGUAGUCC